RNAcentral lists this small nucleolar RNA (322 nucleotides) under Patagioenas fasciata monilis. Lineage: Eukaryota; Metazoa; Chordata; Aves; Columbiformes; Columbidae. The record is from RNAcentral.
GUUCAAUGAUGACAUAAAGGCUAAUGUGACUUGACUAGCUGGGUUGCACCCUCGGCCCAUUCCAGUAAUACGGGUCUGUAAUCUUGGUGAACAAGCUGAGCUGUGCAUGUUCGCUGUAAGGGCAGGCCGACAAAAAGUCCCCUUCCCCAUGUCCCUGGGAAAUACAUCUUUGGGAUGCAUCAGCUUUGCGUGAGUGUUUCUUUGAGCUGAUAUGGGGUCGUGGAGAUAGGACAGGACAGCGCUUCCAAGGUUUGGGUUGCAGGGGGCAGCCCUUGUUACAGCUGUCAAGAUGUGAGCACACAUCUUUGGUAAUCUGAUGACU